AUGAGACGUGCAGUUGGAUAGGGCGUGCCUGAAGCUGGCUCCAUCCCUGGGGUCUGGCUUGGUGGCAAAUUAGUUGGUGCUGGGCAUUGCGCUGGUAGCGCUGCUGUCGUGGGUGUAGCAGCAGGCCUUUUCUGAUCAGGGCGAGACCAGGCUAGUGUGGUUGUUUGCAGCAACAUGCUUGAGGAGAGCAAGCCAGGGAAAGCAUGCUCAUAUUCAUUCAUGCAAUCAUAUGUAAACAGGUUCUAAAGUCCUACUCAACUAUGCAUGAGCAUGCUGGUUACAUCUUUGACCCUCCCAACUGGCUUCCUGUUAAAUCUGUUAAAAAGGAAAGUCUCCAGUCUACUGUGUGAAUGAAAAUUCCAGUCCUAAAUAACAGACAGGGAAAGAAUCAAGAAAACAUUUGCUAUUUUUUUGUUUGUUUUCUUUGUUUUUUAACCAGCCAGAAAGCGAGGCCUAUUUUUGGUUUUGGUCACAUUAGGCUGUGCUGAAUGUUGGCAUGAAGUUCUAGGAGCUCAGUGAUAGCAUUUUUCUAUUCUUAUAUUUAAACAGGCACCUUCCCAGAAGAGUAACAGCACAAAGUUCGCAGUUCCAAUGAAAUGGUGUCUGAGAAUUGCUGGAAAAGAAGCACAAGAGGAAAGACCGUCUCUGUGUGAACAUAGUCAACUUACCAUUCUAACGUCAGCGCUAUAGAAGCCUUCCCUUCACAUAAGCAGUCACCAGCAGGAGGAGAGGACCGGUGGAUUCAGCACACGAGCAUUAACAGCACUGCAUUCUCUACCAGACAAAGUUACAGAAAACGCAUUCAAAGCCUGAAGAAUGAAAAAGAGAAAAAUGUAUUCCUCAUAUUGUGGCCGGAUGCACUGCACAGAAGCAGAUCGAGAACAUCCACUGCUCUUUAUCCACGUGGAGGGACAUAUGACUGACAAACUGGACGUUCAUCUCUGUCUCAAACCCACACACAUGACAGCUGCAGGCAGAAUGGAAUUCAAGAGUAAGAAGGAUUAAAAAAUAAAGCACAAACAGAAGCAUAUUGCCCUUCCCUUCAUUUUUGUAAGAAAAAACUCACUGCACUGAUUUAUUUUCUUCUUCACUGUUGAAUGUUCACUGGAAAAUUCUUUUGUCUGCUGAACUGCCUUUGAACUGAU
Cygnus atratus (black swan) is the source of this 1145-nucleotide long non-coding RNA. RefSeq lists it as uncharacterized. The transcript has 4 exons. The record is from RefSeq and is a predicted model, not a curated record. Lineage: Eukaryota; Metazoa; Chordata; Aves; Anseriformes; Anatidae.